RNAcentral lists this unclassified non-coding RNA (253 nucleotides) under uncultured Halomonadaceae bacterium. RNAcentral describes it as "contains 16S-23S intergenic spacer region". It matches the Rfam family "Bacterial small subunit ribosomal RNA", at positions 524 to 776 of the family's 1533-position model. The record is from RNAcentral. Lineage: Bacteria; Pseudomonadati; Pseudomonadota; Gammaproteobacteria; Oceanospirillales; Halomonadaceae.
UACGGAGGGUGCAAGCGUUAAUCGGAAUUACUGGGCGUAAAGCGCGCGUAGGUGGCUUGAUAAGCCGGUUGUGAAAGCCCCGGGUUCAACCUGGGAACGGCAUCCGGAACUGUCAGGCUAGAGUGCGGGAGAGGACGGUAGGAUUCCCGGUGUAGCGGUGAAAUGCGUAGAGAUCGGGAGGAAUACUAGUGGCGAAGGCGGCCUUCUGGACUGACACUGACACUGAGGUGCGAAAGCGUGGGUAGCAAACAGG